Molecule: ribosomal RNA, 1343 nt
Filed under: uncultured bacterium
Lineage: Bacteria
Description: 16S ribosomal RNA
Rfam family: Bacterial small subunit ribosomal RNA
Source: RNAcentral
GACGAACGCUGGCGGCGUGCUUAACACAUGCAAGUCGAACGGAGAGGCCCUGCUUUUGUGGGGUGCUCGAGUGGCGAACGGGUGAGUAACACGUGAGUAACCUGCCCUUGACUUUGGGAUAACUUCAGGAAACUGGGGCUAAUACCGGAUAGGAGCUCCUGCUGCAUGGUGGGGGUUGGAAAGUUUCGGCGGUUGGGGAUGGACUCGCGGCUUAUCAGCUUGUUGGUGGGGUAGUGGCUUACCAAGGCUUUGACGGGUAGCCGGCCUGAGAGGGUGACCGGCCACAUUGGGACUGAGAUACGGCCCAGACUCCUACGGGAGGCAGCAGUGGGGAAUAUUGCACAAUGGGCGGAAGCCUGAUGCAGCAACGCCGCGUGCGGGAUGACGGCCUUCGGGUUGUAAACCGCUUUCGCCUGUGACGAAGCGUGAGUGACGGUAAUGGGUAAAGAAGCACCGGCUAACUACGUGCCAGCAGCCGCGGUGAUACGUAGGGUGCGAGCGUUGUCCGGAUUUAUUGGGCGUAAAGGGCUCGUAGGUGGUUGAUCGCGUCGGAAGUGUAAUCUUGGGGCUUAACCCUGAGCGUGCUUUCGAUACGGGUUGACUUGAGGAAGGUAGGGGAGAAUGGAAUUCCUGGUGGAGCGGUGGAAUGCGCAGAUAUCAGGAGGAACACCAGUGGCGAAGGCGGUUCUCUGGGCCUUUCCUGACGCUGAGGAGCGAAAGCGUGGGGAGCGAACAGGCUUAGAUACCCUGGUAGUCCACGCUGUAAACGGUGGGUACUAGGUGUGGGGUCCAUUCCACGGGUUCCGUGCCGUAGCUAACGCUUUAAGUACCCCGCCUGGGGAGUACGGCCGCAAGGCUAAAACUCAAAGGAAUUGACGGGGCCCCGCACAAGCGGCGGAGCAUGCGGAUUAAUUCGAUGCAACGCGUAGAACCUUACCUGGGUUUGACAUGGAUCGGGAGCGCUCAGAGAUGGGUGUGCCUCUUUUGGGGUCGGUUCACAGGUGGUGCAUGGCUGUCGUCAGCUCGUGUCGUGAGAUGUUGGGUUAAGUCCCGCAACGAGCGCAACCCUUGUUCACUGUUGCCAGCACGUUAUGGUGGGGACUCAGUGGAGACCGCCGGGGUCAACUCGGAGGAAGGUGGGGAUGACGUCAAGUCAUCAUGCCCCUUAUGUCCAGGGCUUCACGCAUGCUACAAUGGCUGGUACAGAGAGUGGCGAGCCUGUGAGGGUGAGCGAAUCUCGGAAAGCCGGUCUCAGUUCGGAUUGGGGUCUGCAACUCGACCCCAUGAAGUCGGAGUCGCUAGUAAUCGCAGAUCAGCAACGCUGCGGUGAAUACGUUCCCGGG